This 778-nucleotide ribosomal RNA is filed under the name uncultured Neocallimastigales. Its description in RNAcentral is "partial large subunit ribosomal RNA". It matches the Rfam family "Eukaryotic large subunit ribosomal RNA", at positions 23 to 645 of the family's 3401-position model. Lineage: Eukaryota; Fungi; Neocallimastigomycota; Neocallimastigomycetes; Neocallimastigales. The record is from RNAcentral.
AGAGAGAGACAUGCGCGCAUAUCAAUAAGCGGAGGAAAAGAAACUAACAUAGGAUUCCCUCAGUAACGGCGAGUGAAGCGGGAAGAGCUCAAAUUUGAAAUCUCCAAGGGUUCUACCUUUACGAAUUGUAGUUUAAAGAAGUGUUUUCUGUUGAGGUUUUGGUAAAAGUUCUUUGGAAUAGGACAUCAUAGAGGGUGAGAAUCCCGUAUUUGACCAUUACUUUCAACUGUGUGAUACACUUUCAAAGAGUCGGAUUGUUUGGGAAUGCAGUCCAAAAUGGGUGGUAAAUUUCAUCUAAAGCUAAAUAUUGGCGAGAGACCGAUAGCGAACAAGUACCGUGAGGGAAAGAUGAAAAGAACUUUGAAAAGAGAGUUAAACAGUACGUGAAAUUGUCAAAAGGGAAGCGUUUGACACCAGUGUUGUUUUCUCGAAAAUCAAUUAAAAAGGCUAGAUUUUGUGUUGUAUUGACCUUUAAUCAGCUUCUGCACUUCAAUUUUCUUGUCUUUUUUAAUGCACUUUUCGUUUAACAAGUCAACAUCCAGUUUCUUUUGUUGUAAAAGGGUCAUUGGAAGGUGGCUUUCUUUUCGGAGAAAGUGUUUAUAGCCUUUGCCUCUGCAAUCGGAGAGAUUGAGGUCUGCAGCGUAGAUCCUUCGGGGUUAGAUACAUUUGUGCUAAGUUAUAGCUUUUUAUAGACAACUUGUUGACUAUGAUUAGUCUUGUAGCUUACUCGCUUAUGUUAUUUUACCUACGCUUAGGAUGUUGAUGUGAUACUGCGAGC